ACCAGACUCCUACGGGAGGCAGCAGUGGGGGAUAUUGCACAAUGGGGGAAACCCUGAUGCAGCGACGCCGCGUGGGUGAAGAAGUAUUUCGGUAUGUAAAGCCCUAUCAGCAGGGAAGAAAGAAGACGGUACCUGACUAAGAAGCCCCGGCUAACUACGUGCCAGCAGCCGCGGUAAUACGUAGGGGGCGAGCGUUAUCCGGAUUCACUGGGUGUAAAGGGAGCGUAGACGGCCGUGCAAGCCAGGAGUGAAAGCCCGGGGCCCAACCCCGGGACUGCUCUUGGAACUGUGCGGCUGGAGUGCGGGAGGGGCAGGCGGAAUUCCUGGUGUAGCGGUGAAAUGCGUAGAUAUCAGGAGGAACACCGGCGGCGAAGGCGGCCUGCUGGACCGCGACUGACGUUGAGGCUCGAAAGCGUGGGGAGCGAACAGGAUUAGAUACCCUUGUAC
This 447-nucleotide ribosomal RNA is filed under the name uncultured bacterium. RNAcentral's name for it is "bacterial SSU rRNA". It matches the Rfam family "Bacterial small subunit ribosomal RNA", at positions 330 to 793 of the family's 1533-position model. The record is from RNAcentral.